ACUGGUACUCGAGUGGCGAACGGGUGAGUAACACGUGGGUGAUCUGCCCCGCACUUCGGGAUAAGCCUGGGAAACUGGGUCUAAUACCGGAUAGGACCACUUCUUGGAGGUUGUGGUGGAAAGUUUUUUUCGGUGUGGGAUGAGCUCGCGGCCUAUCAGCUUGUUGGUGGGGUAAUGGCCUACCAAGGCGUCGACGGGUAGCCGGCCUGAGAGGGUGUACGGCCACAUUGGGACUGAGAUACGGCCCAGACUCCUACGGGAGGCAGCAGUGGGGAAUAUUGCACAAUGGGCGCAAGCCUGAUGCGGCGACGCCGCGUGGGGGAUGACGGCCUUCGGGUUGUAAACUCCUUUCGCUAGGGACGAAGCGCAAGUGACGGUACCUAGAGAAGAAGCACCGGCUAACUACGUGCCAGCAGCCGCGGUAAUACGUAGGGUGCGAGCGUUGUCCGGAAUUACUGGGCGUAAAGAGCUCGUAGGUGGUUUGUCGCGUCGUUUGUGUAAGCCCGCAGCUUAACUGCGGGACUGCAGGCGAUACGGGCAUAACUUGAGUGCUGUAGGGGAGACUGGAAUUCCUGGUGUAGCGGUGGAAUGCGCNAGAUAUCAGGAGGAACACCGAUGGCGAAGGCAGGUCUCUGGGCAGUAACUGACGCUGAGGAGCGAAAGCAUGGGGAGCGAACAGGAUUAGAUACCCUGGUAGUCCAUGCCGUAAACGGUGGGCGCUAGGUGUGAGUCCCUUCCACGGGGUUCGUGCCGUAGCUAACGCAUUAAGCGCCCCGCCUGGGG
Molecule: ribosomal RNA, 783 nt
Filed under: uncultured Actinomycetes bacterium
Lineage: Bacteria; Bacillati; Actinomycetota; Actinomycetes
Description: bacterial SSU rRNA
Rfam family: Bacterial small subunit ribosomal RNA
Source: RNAcentral